CUUACAUACUAGUACUAUAAGGAAAGAAAAAUUUAGUGUAGUCUUUAAUAUACCUUUUGUCUCAGGGUUUAUUUAAUAAAUAAACAAACUUUCAAUCUCGAAUCUCAUACGAGCUAGCCCGCCCCUGUGUAAUAAGAGGCUGAGUGAAAUAGAAGUGAAACUCUUCGAGUUGAGCAAACUAGUUCUGAUAAAUCAAGAGGGUAAGUCUCUUUUUCACUAAAUUAUACUUUAACAAAAGAAAAUUAACUUUUAAAUUAAGUAAAUUAGUCAUUUUUUAUAAAUAAUUACUUCAAAUUAACCUUAUAGACUGGCCCAGAGCAGCUUUAAAUUAUUUACAGCCAAUUACAAUUAUAAAAUUAUUAUUUAAGUUUGCAUAGGCUAAAGAACUCGAGCUGCCAUUGAAUGUUUAACAAAAACUUUUCUUUUAGGGGGUUAAAGGUACGGCCUGCCCAGUGGAACCUUAACGGCUGCGGUAUUUUGACCGUGCUAAGGUAGCAUAAUCAUUUGGCUUUUAAUUUAAGUCUGGAAUGAACGGCUCAACAAUUGCAGCGUAUCUAGCGUAUAAGUAAAAAUUUAGGCUUUAAGUAAAAACACUUAAAUGAAAGAGAGGGACGAUAAGACCCUAGAAGCUUUAUAAUAGCUCGGCUCUACUUUAUUAUAAAACCAAGCCUAUAUAUUAUUUGACUGGGGCGGUAGUAUUACAUUAACUAGUAGUUUUAAAAACAAUCGGCUUAAAGGUCCUUUAUAUAAGGACAGAUAGACUGAGUUACUCUAGGGGUAACAGCGUAAUGUUUACGGAAAGUCCACAUGUAUGUAAACGAUUGCGACCUCGAUGUUGAAUUAAAAUAUCAUUAUAGUGCAAAAGCUUUAAAUGAGAGUUUGUUCAACUUUUAAAUUUUUACAUGAUUUGAGUUCAAAUCGGUUUAAGCCAGAUUGGUUUCUAUCUUCUCUAAAAAAUAGCGCUCUUCAGUACGAAAGGACCAAGGGC
Non-coding RNA from Hyalella azteca, 988 nucleotides. NCBI's taxonomy places the organism in Eukaryota, Metazoa, Arthropoda, Malacostraca, Amphipoda, Hyalellidae. The record is from the annotation of a RefSeq genome assembly.